Non-coding RNA from Triticum aestivum (bread wheat), 125 nucleotides. NCBI's taxonomy places the organism in Eukaryota, Viridiplantae, Streptophyta, Magnoliopsida, Poales, Poaceae. The record is from Rfam.
UUACUACUCCCUCCGUCCGGAAUUACUUGUCAUAAAAACGGAUAAAAAUGAAUUUAUCUAUAACUAAAAUACAUCUAGAUACAUCCAUUUCUUGGACGAGUAAUUCCGAAGGGAGGGAGCAGUAU